CUAUGAAUCUCUGCUAAGUGUAUAUUGUUGUCUCUCCAAGAAGGCAUGAGUCCGGCAGCGUGCAGUUAUGGGGAUUGCAUAUGUGCACAGCAACUCAUUACCCAUGUCUUUUUUCAAAGAAUUUUCAACUUAAUCUUUGGUUGCCUCAUCUGAAGGAAAGGUCAAAGGAAGGUGCAGAGAAAAUGAAAAGCAUGUAAAAGGUGGAGUGGCUUUUUGCUGCACUGAGGAAUCUUCUGUGCCCUGCUUGUUGUGUAAAGCCUGUCAGAAGGAGGGGGGAAUAAACAAAAGAAUUUUCUUCUCAGCAUGUGCUGGGACCCAGCACUACACAUAAAUGCAUUGUUAGUUGAAAUCAGUGUUUUGGUUUCUCCCUUCCUUUGUGAGAUGCUGUAGAGGAAGCAGAUUAAAGAUUGCCAGCUUUCUGGCAAAAUAUACUGGUGGCAUCAUAAUGACUUCAUUAUGGUCUCUAAAUGAGCUAACAGACUAAUAAUGUGUUCAGGAAAAAAUACACAUUAUGAACAUGCACACAGGUGUAGGGUUAACCCUUUCUUUGGUGCCCCUUGCUUCGAAUCCAGCAUAAACCACAAUUCUGUGCUCUACUAGCUGGGCAGUAAAAGAUUUAAUUCAACAGCUGCGUGCCAACUAAUUGCAGCUGUAUUUUCUUCUGAGUUCAUCUACAAUGCAAAGAACAUGGCAGCUGUUUGUUUGUUUGCUUGCUUGCUUGCCUGGUGGUGGCUGGGAAUGCUGCUGCUAGGUGGUAAUGCCAGCAGAGUGAUUCUCCUCCCUGGGCUUCUGCAACGGAAGCUUGGCUGCGACAAUAGCAGUACGCUAUGCUCACAUUGGUGAGCAGGUUGAAGACACCUCCUUUGAAGAGAGAGACUGCAGAGCCCAGGAGUCUAGUUGGCAUGCUUCAAAAUGGAUGAAACUUCAUAUAUAUCAGGAACAUUACUUUGGUCUUUUUAUCAGUCAAAGCCAUGUCAAAGCCCUCUGCAAUUAUAAAUUUCAGUAAGAUAGUCUGUGAGCCUCUGAUUUACCAUGCUCUGUGCUGUCCUUGCCAAAACUGAUGACUAUAUGCAGAUGUAUGUGUAAGAAAAGACGUCUGGGAUUGGUUUAUAAACAGUAUAUAACGAGCAGUUCUUCUGUAAAACAAGCUAUUGUUUAUGUAUGACUGCAUCACCACUGCGUCUUAUUUUUAGGGUUGCUGUAAGAAGUGGGCAGUUGCCUUCAGCAAGCACAUAAGGAGCUUGGCUGUUUGGUGAAAAAUGGAAAACAGAUAGAAAAGUUUUUUGAUUGAGGGCAAAAUAUAGGCUAUGAGUGGCCAUUAUCCAUAUCUUCUACUCCUCUGAGUCUGCAAGAAAGCAGACGAAGGAGUAAUAAAAACUGUUGAGCUGGCA
This 1391-nucleotide long non-coding RNA is filed under the name Anser brachyrhynchus (Pink-footed goose). Its description in RNAcentral is "lncRNA (ENSABRG00000005290.1)". The record is from RNAcentral. Lineage: Eukaryota; Metazoa; Chordata; Aves; Anseriformes; Anatidae.